GUAGCCCCGCCUGACCUGAGGUCC
Molecule: ribosomal RNA, 24 nt
Filed under: Crotalaria glaucoides
Lineage: Eukaryota; Viridiplantae; Streptophyta; Magnoliopsida; Fabales; Fabaceae
Description: partial 18S ribosomal RNA
Source: RNAcentral